Fukomys damarensis (Damara mole-rat) is the source of this 425-nucleotide long non-coding RNA. RefSeq lists it as uncharacterized. The transcript has 3 exons. Lineage: Eukaryota; Metazoa; Chordata; Mammalia; Rodentia; Bathyergidae. The record is from RefSeq and is a predicted model, not a curated record.
GGGGGUGUGACAGAACCCUCGGGGGACGGCACAACACAAGGGCGAAGGGCACAGUACAGAUGGACAGCCCUGAGAGCGGGUCAGCCAGCCAGGACACCUCAGACUGUCCAGGAGGGACUGUGACAGGUGUGACACCACCUGAAAACCAACGGGAAGCCAUUCAGGAGUGCUGGUACUGACACCUGUGUGACUUGUAGCCAGCAACCAGGAGCUGCAGAGACAUAGGCACCGUGGUGAAGCUACCCACCAGGCUUCCUGGUUCCAGAGCUGGCCACUCUCUGUGGUUACACUCAACAACUCAAAAAGCUCAGCACACCACCCGGCAGCUCCUUUCCUUUAAUUUAGAUUUUCCCCACUGUUACCAGACAAGGCAUCUGGCAGCCUUGCUAAGAAGACAGGACAUUUCCAGGAGUCAAGAACUGAAU